Molecule: ribosomal RNA, 398 nt
Filed under: uncultured bacterium
Lineage: Bacteria
Description: partial 16S ribosomal RNA
Rfam family: Bacterial small subunit ribosomal RNA
Source: RNAcentral
AUACGUAGGGUGCGAGCGUUGUCCGGAAAUACUGGGCGUAAAGAGCUCGUAGGUGGUUUGUCGCGUCGUCUGUGAAAUUCCGGGGCUUAACUCCGGGCGUGCAGGCGAUACGGGCAUAACUUGAGUACUGUAGGGGAGACUGGAAUUCCUGGUGUAGCGGUGAAAUGCGCAGAUAUCAGGAGGAACACCGGUGGCGAAGGCGGGUCUCUGGGCAGUAACUGACGCUGAGGAGCGAAAGCAUGGGUAGCGAACAGGAUUAGAUACCCUGGUAGUCCAUGCCGUAAACGGUGGGCGCUAGGUGUAGGGGUCUUCCACGACUUCUGUGCCGUAGCUAACGCAUUAAGCGCCCCGCCUGGGGAGUACGGCCGCAAGGCUAAAACUCAAAUGAAUUGACGGGG